This 468-nucleotide ribosomal RNA is filed under the name uncultured bacterium. Its description in RNAcentral is "partial 16S ribosomal RNA". It matches the Rfam family "Bacterial small subunit ribosomal RNA", at positions 28 to 507 of the family's 1533-position model. The record is from RNAcentral.
GACGAACGCUGGCGGCGUGCCUAACACAUGCAAGUCGAACGGUCAGGCCCGGUCGGGGGUACACGGGUGUCGAACGGGUGAGUAACACGUGCGUAACCUGCCCUCAUCUCUGGGAUAACAGUCGGAAACGGUUGCUAAUGCUGGAUACGAGCUUUCUAUUCAUCUUGUGGGUUGGAAAGUUUUUUUUGGGUUUGGGAUGGAGUCGAGGCCUAUCAGCUUGUUGGUGGGGGAGUGGCUCACCAAGGCUUCGACGGGUCGCCGACAUGAGAGGGCGGCGGGCCACACUGGAACCGAGAUAGGGGCCAAAGUCCUGAGGGAGGCGGCAGGGGGGAAUAUUGGACAAUGGACGGAAGGCUGAUGCAGGAACGCCGCGUGAGGGAUGACGGCUGUCGGGAUGUAAGCCGCAAUCAAUUGUGAAGAAGGUAUUUUGUGACGGUAGCAGUAGAAGAAGCCCCGGCUAACUACGUG